This 440-nucleotide ribosomal RNA is filed under the name uncultured bacterium. RNAcentral describes it as "partial 16S ribosomal RNA". It matches the Rfam family "Bacterial small subunit ribosomal RNA", at positions 338 to 795 of the family's 1533-position model. The record is from RNAcentral.
CCUACGGGUGGCAGCAGUGGGGGAUAUUGCACAAUGGGGGGAACCCUGAUGCAGCGACGCCGCGUGGGUGAAGAAGCGCCUCGGCGCGUAAAGCCCUGUCAGCAGGGAAGAAAAUGACGGUACCUGAAGCAGAAGCCCCGGCUAACUACGUGCCAGCAGCCGCGGUAAUACGUAGGGGGCAAGCGUUAUCCGGAUUUACUGGGUGUAAAGGGGGCGCAGACGGCGAUGCAAGCCAGGAGUGAAAGCCCGGGGCCCAACCCCGGGACUGCUCUUGGAACUGCGUGGCUGGAGUGCAGGAGGGGCAGGCGGAAUUCCUGGGGUAGCGGUGAAAUGCGUAGAUAUCAGGAGGAACACCGGUGGCGAAGGCGGCCUGCUGGACUGCAACUGACGUUGAGGCCCGAAAGCGUGGGGAUCGAACAGGAUUAGAUACCCGGGUAGUC